Molecule: long non-coding RNA, 259 nt
Organism: Microtus oregoni (creeping vole)
Lineage: Eukaryota; Metazoa; Chordata; Mammalia; Rodentia; Cricetidae
Exons: 3
Source: RefSeq, a predicted model, not a curated record
AAACUACUGAAUACAAUACAAUAAAUAUUUGCUGAAUUAUUACUGUGUGACUAGUACCUCAGCUAACUAGAGAUGUUCUAUGGUCUACUCCACUAAGGAAGAACAGAAUCUCGUGGUGAUUAUGUGCCUAUGAUUGUAACACAAUGACAAUGGUGAACAUAGGCAGCCAAUGCUCAAAAAGCAGCACGAGUUCUCAGCCUAUAGAAGGGUUGAAGACAGCCAGUACAACGUGCCUAUAUAUCAUCUAGACAAGAAGAGC